AAUGAUUAUAUCUUAUAUGAAAGUUGACAAUUCAUGAGUAAAAAGAAAUAAAAAAGGAAAAUCAAUGAUAUGAAACAAUAAAUAUUUUUAUGAGUGCUUAGUGAAGUGUUUUAGGUUUCUUUAUUUUGAAAGUGUGAAAGUGUAGAAAUGGACAAUGUAUAAAUAUUCCACAUUGUGGAAAUUAUAAUGGUCUAAUCUCAUGGUUUGUGUUGUAAAAAUAAAUACUGUGAUGGAAUAUUUAAAGAACCUGUUAAAAAAGAAAAUUCAGGAACCGAAGCACAUGUAAAGGAAGCAAAAACUCAGGAACAAGCACAAUUGCUCAACUUUUGUCUGUAGAAGAUAAAAUCGAGAUAAAGAUCCGAGAAUCCACUGCAUUGUGUUUUUUUGAAAUGAAAAUAGUGAAGGAAGAUUUGACUCUAGUCUUCUUGAAUGUGAAAAAAUUCAUCCAAUAUGCACACUGUCACUGCACAUACUGUCAAUGUACACACUUUAAGAUGGGCAAUUUCAAGAUAUUAUGCAGAAGCACGAUUGUUAACUUUAAAGCCAUUCUAUUCUAUCAUCUUUAAACAUAAUGAAACAAAGUAAGAAAUUUGGUUACCAGAUA
Molecule: long non-coding RNA, 604 nt
Organism: Apis mellifera (honey bee)
Lineage: Eukaryota; Metazoa; Arthropoda; Insecta; Hymenoptera; Apidae
Exons: 4
Source: RefSeq, a predicted model, not a curated record